RNAcentral lists this ribosomal RNA (497 nucleotides) under uncultured bacterium. RNAcentral describes it as "partial 16S ribosomal RNA". It matches the Rfam family "Bacterial small subunit ribosomal RNA", at positions 28 to 507 of the family's 1533-position model. The record is from RNAcentral.
GAUGAACGCUGGCGGCGUGCCUAAUACAUGCAAGUCGAGCGAACAGACGAGGAGCUUGCUCCUCUGACGUUAGCGGCGGACGGGUGAGUAACACGUGGAUAACCUACCUAUAAGACUGGGAUACCUUCGGGAAACCGGAGCUAAUACCGGAUAAUAUAUUGAACCGCAUGGUUCAAUAGUGAAAGACGGUUUUGCUGUCACUUAUAGAUGGAUCCGCGCCGCAUUAGCUAGUUGGUAAGGUAACGGCUUACCAAGGCAACGAUGCGUAGCCGACCUGAGAGGGUGAUCGGCCACACUGGAACUGAGACACGGUCCAGACUCCUACGGGAGGCAGCAGUAGGGAAUCUUCCGCAAUGGGCGAAAGCUUGACGGAGCAACGCCGCGUGAGUGAUGAAGGUCUUCGGAUCGUAAAACUCUGUUAUUAGGGAAGAACAAAUGUGUAAGUAACUAUGCACGUCUUGACGGUACCUAAUCAGAAAGCCACGGCUAACUACGUG